GACGAACGCUGGCGGCGUGCUUAACACAUCAGCAAUUGAUUGGUGGCGGACGGGUGAGUAACGCGUAAAGAACUUACCUCACAGUUAGGGACAACAUUUGGAAACGAAUGCUAAUACCUAAUACUGUGAGAGAGCUUUGCGUCCCAUUAGCUAGUUGGAGAGGUAACGGCUCACCAAGGCGAUGAUGGGUAGCCGGCCUGAGAGGGUGAUCGGCCACAAGGGGACUGAGACACGGCCCUUACUCCGACGGGAGGCAGCAGGGGGGAAUAUUGAACAAUGUACCAAAGUCUGAUCCAGCAAUUCUGGGUGCACGAUGAAUUUGUCGGAAUGUAAAGUGCUUUCAGUUGGGAAGCGGUACCAACAGAAGAAGUGACGGCUAAAUACGUGCCAGCAGCCGCGGUAAUUC
RNAcentral lists this ribosomal RNA (406 nucleotides) under uncultured bacterium. RNAcentral describes it as "partial 16S ribosomal RNA". It matches the Rfam family "Bacterial small subunit ribosomal RNA", at positions 28 to 526 of the family's 1533-position model. The record is from RNAcentral.